This 225-nucleotide ribosomal RNA is filed under the name uncultured bacterium. RNAcentral describes it as "partial 16S ribosomal RNA". It matches the Rfam family "Bacterial small subunit ribosomal RNA", at positions 8 to 214 of the family's 1533-position model. The record is from RNAcentral.
AGAGUUUGAUCAUGGCUCAGGAUGAACGCUGGCGGCGUGCUUAACACAUGCAAGUCGAACGAAGCGAUUUGAAUGAAGCUUUCGGAUGGAUUUCAGAUUGACUGAGUGGCGGACGGGUGAGUAACGCGUGGGUAACCUGCCCCAUACAGGGGGAUAACAGUUAGAAAUGACUGCUAAUACCGCAUAAGACCACAGCACCGCAUGGUGCAGGGGUAAAAACUCCGG